This 253-nucleotide ribosomal RNA is filed under the name uncultured bacterium. Its description in RNAcentral is "partial 16S ribosomal RNA". It matches the Rfam family "Bacterial small subunit ribosomal RNA", at positions 524 to 776 of the family's 1533-position model. The record is from RNAcentral.
UACGGGGGGGGCAAGCGUUGUUCGGAAUUACUGGGCGUAAAGGGCUUGUAGGUGGCCAACUAAGUCAGACGUGAAAUCCCUCGGCUUAACCGGGGGACUGCGUCUGAUACUGGAUGGCUUGAGUGUGGGAGAGGGAUGCGGAAUUCCAGGUGUAGCGGUGAAAUGCGUAGAUAUCUGGAGGAACACCGGUGGCGAAGGCGGCAUCCUGGACCAUUACUGACACUGAAAAGCGAAAGCCAGGGGAGCAAACGGU